GCCUGGCUAGCUCAGUCGGUAGAGCAUGAGACUUUUAAUCUCAGGGUCGUGGGUUUGAGCCCCACGUUGGGCG
RNAcentral lists this transfer RNA (73 nucleotides) under Danionella translucida. It matches the Rfam family "tRNA". From Rfam's summary of the family: Transfer RNA (tRNA) molecules are approximately 80 nucleotides in length. RNAcentral also lists the same sequence under 1 other name. The record is from Rfam by way of RNAcentral. Lineage: Eukaryota; Metazoa; Chordata; Actinopteri; Cypriniformes; Danionidae.